ACUGAAUUCUAUUAGAUUUAAAAGAGAUUUCAAAUUUUUCUGAUUUUAUAGUGCAUCUGAAUCGUAUUAGUACGUCAGCACUCUUAUCCCUAUCCCCCCAACCCCUAUCUAGUUUUCAGUGUGAAAGAGCAGACUUCCAAAUCUUAAAUUUUAUGUUGUUCUUGAAGUUCACAAAUUAUGGUGGGAUUGAUUUUUUUGUUCAGUUCAGUUCAUGUUUCAGUUUUAUACCCAAUAUUUCAGCAUUUUCUGCUGCGACUUUUUGAUAACCAACCAAAAUUUAAAUGUUGAAGAUUUGUAUUUUGUAACCAAAUGUGAUGUGAAAUUUUAAUGAAAUCUACAACACACAAUGGUGGAGGUGCAGUUUGUACGUAUGUUGUUCAACUUUGGCGUUAAUUAGCCGCAGUUUAAUGGGUGAAUACCACUCCAAAUACAUACAACUGUUGCAAAGUAUACUUUGCUAAUGAUUUUACUCUCUGUACAUAAUGAACAAAUAAAUUUUAGUUGGUUAUCGUAUGAAGCCUGUUAAAUAACCCCCAAUAUUCAGAAGCAUUGAAAUUCACUUUUAAAUCAGUUUUACGUCUUGAUAUAUAAAUGAAGGGCAAAAAAGGUGCAGAUACCCAGUUUAACGAUAUCGAAUAUUUACAGAAGAAAUUUAAAAGAAAAUGAAGAAAACUUAUAACUAAAUAAUAAAAUACAGAAAAAGGCAAAAAAAAAUAAAAUAAAAUAAAACAAAAACAAAAGAAAUUCAAGUGCAGCCUCCUUAGGAAGUUCUUCUUCGUGGUUUCGUCUAUAAUCAUUAUCCAUUUGGUUUUGGUAGCAACAAUAUCCAUUUCCAUAUAACUUUUUGUUCCAAUACUACCAUCCAAAAUAGUACAAUACCCAGACAUCUCCAUAGGUUUGCUGAAAAGUGUAAAAUAUGUGUGGAAGUGUGAAAUAUGUGUGAAAGUGUAAAAUAUGUGUGGGGCCUUCAAUCUCAAUAGAUCUGGCCAAGUGAAAAUGAUUCCAUAUUAUAGAGGACCAACCCUUAACACCAACGAACCAGAAAAGACGUCAAAUACAUCUUGAAGAUAUUAGGUAUAGAAGAAAAACUGACAUCAACCCUGAACACAAAGAACACAGAAAAUAAAUCAAAUACAUCUCGGAGGUAUUUAGCUAUUUUGAAGACAACAGAUACCAUGCAACACAAAUAACUCACAAUAAUGUUAAUUCAGGAUCCUGACAACGACAGACAACAAUCAACAUUUUCAGACGAUUUCAAGACACGCUAACAGUUCCUCAAUAUCCUUUGUGUGAAUUAUAUUUCUUGAUCCUUAUGGUGGUUUAACAUCUUCUUCUUCUCUUGACUCAUCUUAUGGUGGUAGGAAAAAGAAUUAGAAAGUAGAUGUAAAGCAUUCCAAAGACAAUGAAAUAAGAAGACAAACGUGAUCUUAAAGAAAAUAGUUCGAAUAGAUACAACAACAAACGAAAGACAUUCACAAGUUGGAGUGAAUUAGAAUUCAAUCCAAGAAAAAUUAAGAAAUUGAUAGAAGCCAGAGUGAUUACGAGAAGACAGUCUGCGAAUCAAAUACUACGACACCACUUACGCAAAACUCGGUUGAGUAUUACGUAAAUGGAGUAAUGAAAGAAUGUAAUUAAUCACUUAUUUCUUUAUUCUGCAUAGAAAUAUGUACAAGAAAACCUAAAAAUACAGAGAGAAAAGUGAAAACUAAAAAAAACGGAAGAACUAAAAAUGAAAAACUUAGACUAGAAAAGAAAAAAAAACAAAAAUUAAAAAAAAGGAAAUAAAAAAAAAUAAAAUAAAAUAAAAAGAAGUAGAAACUAGUAACUACAAACUAGAAUAAAACAAGAAAGGUGUUAGUUAAAACUUUAUGAGAGAAACAAACCUUACAAUCAGAGGUAUUAGUCGAACUUAAACUAAAUAACAGUGCUAAGCAGAACAAACAAAAAAAAGACGAAAAAAAAACAAACAAAAAAAAACGAAAAAAAAAAAAAAAAAGCAUGCAACUAACAUAAAAAGCCGCCUCUUUUGGUAUUUAUUCUUCAUGGUUUCAUCUGUCAUCAUCAUUCAUAUGGUUUCACUGGCAACAGUAUAUAUUUCCAUAUAACUUUUUGUUCCAAUACUACCAUCCAAAAUAGUACAAUACCCAGACAUCUCCAUAGGUUUGCUGAAAAGUGUAAAAUAUGUGUGGAAGUGUGAAAUAUGUGUGAAAGUGUAAAAUAUGUGUGGGGCCUUCAAUCUCAAUAGAUCUGGCCAAGUGAAAAUGAUUCCAUGUUAUAGAGGACCAACCCUUAACACCAACGAACCAGAAAAGACGUCAAAUACAUCUUGAAGAUAUUAGGUAUAGAAGAAAAACUGACAUCAACCCUGAACACAAAGAACACAGAAAAUAAAUCAAAUACAUCUCGGAGGUAUUUAGCUAUUUUGAAGACAACAGAUACCAUGCAACACAAAUAACUCACAAUAAUGUUAAUUCAGGAUCCUGACAACGACAGACAACAAUCAACAUUUUCAGACGAUUUCAAGACACGCUAACAGUUCCUCAAUAUCCUUUGUGUGAAUUAUAUUUCUUGAUCCUUAUGGUGGUUUAACAUCUUCUUCUUCUCUUGACUCAUCUUAUGGUGGUAGGAAAAAGUAUUAGAAAGUAGAUGUAAAGCAUUCCAAAGACAAUGAAAUAAGAAGACAAACGUGAUCUCGAAGAAAAUAGUUCGAAUAGAUACAACAACAAACGAA
Molecule: long non-coding RNA, 2731 nt
Organism: Coccinella septempunctata (seven-spotted ladybird)
Lineage: Eukaryota; Metazoa; Arthropoda; Insecta; Coleoptera; Coccinellidae
Exons: 2
Source: RefSeq, a predicted model, not a curated record